This 460-nucleotide ribosomal RNA is filed under the name uncultured Sphingobacteriales bacterium. Its description in RNAcentral is "partial 16S ribosomal RNA". Lineage: Bacteria; Pseudomonadati; Bacteroidota; Sphingobacteriia; Sphingobacteriales. The record is from RNAcentral.
GACUACUGGGGUAUCUAAGCCUGUUCGCUCCCCACGCUUUCGUGCCUCAGCGUCAAUUCAGGUCCAGUCAGCUGCCUUCGCAAUCGGUAUUCCAUGGCAUAUCUAAGCAUUUCACCGCUACAUGCCACAUUCCGCCAACCUCAUCCUGAUUCAAGUCUAACAGUAUCAAUGGCAGUCCCAUCGUUAAGCGACGGCCUUUCACCACUGACUUAUCAAACCGCCUACGCACCCUUUAAACCCAGUGAUUCCGGAUAACGCUCGCACCCUCCGUAUUACCGCGGCUGCUGGCACGGAGUUAGCCGGUGCUUAUUCUCAUGGUACCGUCAGUCCUUAAUAAAUUAAGUUUUUUCGUCCCAUGCAAAAGAAGUUUACAAGGCAGAGCCCCUUCAUCCUUCACGCGGGAUGGCUGGUUCAGAGUUCCGUCCAUUGACCAAUAUUCCUUACUGCAGCCCCCCGUAGG